This 253-nucleotide ribosomal RNA is filed under the name uncultured bacterium. RNAcentral describes it as "partial 16S ribosomal RNA". It matches the Rfam family "Bacterial small subunit ribosomal RNA", at positions 524 to 776 of the family's 1533-position model. The record is from RNAcentral.
UACGUAGGGUGCAAGCGUUAAUCGGAAUUACUGGGCGUAAAGCGUGCGCAGGCGGUUAUUUAAGACAGAUGUGAAAUGCCCGGGCUUAACCUGGGAACUGCAUUUGUGACUGCAUGGCUAGAGUUUGGCAGAGGGGGGUAGAAUUCCACGUGUAGCAGUGAAAUGCGUAGAUAUGUGGAGGAACACCGAUGGCGAAGGCAGCCCCCUGGGUCAAGACUGACGCUCAUGCACGAAAGCGUGGGGAGCAAACAGG